AGAGUUUGAUCCUGGCUCAGAUUGAACGCUGGCGGCAUGCUUUACACAUGCAAGUCGAACGGGGUUAAGGGGCUUGCUCCUUAAUCUAGUGGCGAACGGGUGAGUAAUGCAUCGGAACGUACCCGGGAGUGGGGGAUAACGCACCGAAAGGUGUGCUAAUACCGCAUAUUCUGUGAGCAGGAAAGCAGGGGACCUUAGGGCCUUGUGCUUCCGGAGCGGCCGAUGUCGGAUUAGCUAGUUGGUGAGGUAAAGGCUCACCAAGGCGACGAUCCGUAGCGGGUCUGAGAGGAUGAUCCGCCACACUGGGACUGAGACACGGCCCAGACUCCUACGGGA
This 336-nucleotide ribosomal RNA is filed under the name uncultured beta proteobacterium. RNAcentral's name for it is "bacterial SSU rRNA". It matches the Rfam family "Bacterial small subunit ribosomal RNA", at positions 8 to 346 of the family's 1533-position model. The record is from RNAcentral. Lineage: Bacteria; Pseudomonadati; Pseudomonadota; Betaproteobacteria.